Molecule: long non-coding RNA, 1868 nt
Filed under: Pogona vitticeps (central bearded dragon)
Lineage: Eukaryota; Metazoa; Chordata; Lepidosauria; Squamata; Agamidae
Description: lncRNA (ENSPVIG00000017268.1)
Source: RNAcentral
AGCAGUAGGACAAUAAAACCCAUGACCUCGAGGGGAGGUAGUGGGCGCUCCCAACCCUGGAGGCCUUCAAGAGAAAAUUAGAACUACCCUCUGUUCGAUCUGCUUGGAUUUGGAUUCCUUCACUGAGCAGGGAGUAGGACGCGAUGGCCUUAGAGGCCCUUCCAACUCCCUGAUUCUAUGAUUCUUCUUUUCUACUGUCCAUUUGAAGAAAAUUAUACAAAAGUCUCUUUGUAUACUGUACUUUUCAACCCAUCCUCUUUAGCAAACAAAGAAGACAGUUCUAUGGUUAUAGCGCAGAGGGUGCAGGAAAUCUGUCUGUUUUAAAGCAUUGGUCAGAACAGAGGCAGUUAUACUUCACGCCUCUCUCAAACCCUCUUCUCUUUAAAAUUGUUCAUUCUCACCUUACCUUUUUUCAGGUGAGGAUGUAUUGGCUAUGGAUAUAGGUCCAGCACAUUCAGGGAAUUCUGUUCCAGCAACCCUAAAUUUUCAGUGUUGCACAACUGCAUCUGCAUGUCAUUGAAGGGCCACAGUUUGACUUGGGCUCGGAUCUCAUGUGGAUUGUAAAGGAAUGGCCAGAAUCCUCUUAAUGAGUUAUACCGGUACUAAUGCAAUGGCAUAAACUGCAGUGGUAAAUUUCCCAAAGUUAACAAGUUGCUCCUUGUAUACCUUCUUGAACACCCAUUGGACAAACAGGUGGACAACAAGGUGCAGAAGCCCACAGAAUUGUGGAACGCGGAGGAUGGAUUUAGCCAGCUUUUAAUCUUUAACAAGCCUAUGGUUUUUGAGGGAUGGUGGAUUAUCUUUCUUUUCAGGCCGAAAAGAAUAUCUGCCACUUUGCAUUUCAGGACUUCCUGAUGCUCGAAUCUAAAAAGCAUUUGCAUUUACACCGAGGGAGGCUCAAGUUUAACAAAUUCUGGAUUGGACUAAAGUACGAACGAAGCAUUGGGAAAUGGGUGUGGGUAGAUGGCUCUGUCCUGAAAGUCAAACGGCAACAACAGCAGAAUCACAGUGGCUGCAUGUACCUUCAGAAUGGGGAGUUUCAUUCCCAAGAGUGCAGUCAACCCGCGUUUAUACUUUGCAAGGCAAAGGUCCAACCUGGCUGGAACUGAACAGUUUUGCAAAGUUGAGAGGAGGAGGAGGAGGAGGUGGAGGAGAUCAUCCCCCACAGAGGUCAGCAGCGGGUGACCCUCCACUCUGGCUCCUCCUGAAGACUUUUGGCACCCAUAGAGAAAUCUCUUGCCCAGCUGUUUAAGAGAAGCAUUUUUAUUUCUCGGAACCCACCAAAGGCCUGAGAGACUUGUCUGCAGAUGGUAGCUCCUGGAGAGGGGCAAGGGAACCUCUCAACUAAAAAUCACCAGCAUCCUCGUCAUCUUUAAGGGAUUGUUUUAGCUCUUGAAUAGCAUCCCAAGAUUUCAUAUGUAAGUCAAUAAUUCUACCUGGAGUUGUGCACAGUAAUUACUAAAAGGAACACUUUCCCCAGGACCUCCUUGUCAGAGGGCCUUCUCCGUUCUUGCCCUCCCCUUCAUAAGCAAGGUAAGCCAUAACGGGAGAGUAGCUAUUUCUGGUUGUGGCACCCUACACUGUAAUCCACAGAUAAGCACAGCCACCCAACCCUGCACCACAGAGACGUCUUGGCUGAAGAAAGCUCAUGUAAUUUCCCCCAUGCCUUUAACUUGUGACUUGAGAUUCUUUUUUCUCCUGAGUUUUCGCUCUGUGUUGAGAUUCCAUGUUUUUUGUUUUUUGUUACCGCUUCCAAAAUGGGUUGUGAUUUUAUCACUAUUGCAUUUUUAGUCAUGCUGUGAUAAACGGUGCUAAGGCCACUCUAUCACCUGUCAACAUGAAUAAAGGAUUGUUAUUACUGUAUUUCA